UUUCCGUAGGUGAACCUGCGGAAGGAUCAUUACCGAGUGUCGGGGCUCAGGCCCCGCCCUCCCAUCCCGUGGCGUUAAAAAGUUAUGUUGCCUCCGGCUCCUUGCCGGGUGGCAGUCUCAGACUAGGUUUAGACUUUGUUUCUGACAGUAUUGAGAAAUCAAAUGAAAACUUUCAACAACGGAUCUCUUGGUUCCGGCAUCGAUGAAGAACGCAGC
RNAcentral lists this unclassified non-coding RNA (216 nucleotides) under uncultured fungus. RNAcentral describes it as "sequence contains ITS1, 5.8S rRNA gene". The stretch from base 168 to 216 matches the Rfam family "5.8S ribosomal RNA", at positions 1 to 49 of the family's 154-position model. Lineage: Eukaryota; Fungi. The record is from RNAcentral.